This is a long non-coding RNA of Dermochelys coriacea (leatherback sea turtle), 6212 nucleotides long. RefSeq lists it as uncharacterized. Lineage: Eukaryota; Metazoa; Chordata; Testudines; Dermochelyidae. The record is from RefSeq and is a predicted model, not a curated record. The transcript has 2 exons.
UUUUGCGAAUACAGACUAACACGGCUGCUACUCUGAAACACAUUUUCCAGUAACCAUGAGCUUGCAUUUGUGCGUGGCUGCUGCGUUGCUACAACCAAGGACAGUUACCCUGUCCUUCAACUACUUCGUACCAAAUGGUGUCCCCUCUGCAACAGAAGCCAACUUUUUUUUAGGCAUACAACACCAGUAGAGAGCAGUUUCACUGGCAUUCUAUACCUGCUUUGGGAAUAACGUCUCAUUUGCAAGUAACUCUGCAAAUUUGUCAAUGUACUUCGCAGCAGCUUCCAUAUCUGCACUUCUUUUUUCACUGCACACACAAUGUAGAUGAAUGCCCUGCCUGUUUUUAAAUUUCUGAAUCCAUCCUUGCAAAUAGUCACACUCAUGCUGCAGGUUAAGUUCUUUGUGGAAUAUUUUUGUUUGUGCCACCAUCAUCUCACCUGAAAUUCUAACACCUUCGUUCCUACAAAGCUUGAACCAAUGUAUAAGCGUACUAUCUAAAUCACUGCUUUCCCCCUCCUUCAAUGUCUUAUGAACACUCAUACUUGUUUUUACUGUCACGUUCAGCAAAAAACUUAAGGAUUUGAUUCUUUUGCUUCUUCAAAUCAUACAUUGUAAAUGGCCCUACAUUGUAAAACUCACACAAGGCACGUUCCGAUGUGCCCUUUUCCAAUUUUUGCAGCACUCCCACCUUUUGCUGUAUGGAUAUUGACACAUGCUUAUGCUUAGCAGCAUUACCAACACUUCCACUGCUUGCUGGACAUAUUUAGGGGUAAAUUCGAGCUAAAUAACAGCACAGAACACUGAGAGCCAGGACUGGUGGGACUUUGCUGGACCGUGGGAAUCUUGGCCCCACCCAUGCUAAGCGUACAUUCGGCUAACUAAAAUCAUGCUGGACCACGGAUGUUGCCAGAUUAGAGAGGUUCAAUCUGUAAUCAGGAAAAGGUCUGUAACCAAUCAGUAGGAUUGUACUUAAUCAUCCACUUUGAUUUUACUCUGACUUAGCUGACUUAGUCCAAAUACCCCAAAAGGGACUACUUGUAAUUAAUAUGGGGAAAAUGUUUUCUGUGAUUAAUAAAACAAUAAUCUAUAAGAAGAUGCUUUUAGAUUAUCAAUCAUAGAAACCAGAUACCAAUCUGCCUGAAGCAUCAGGUGAUUAGGCUGAGGCCGCAGGAUCAUUAGGGGAGGAGAUGAAGGAGCACACCAAGUAAUUAAGUUUUAAAGCUUCAUUAAUAAAAUAACAGCGGUGAGCGCUGGGGGCUCCCCAUGUCAUUCAGAGGAAGAAAGAAAGCAUUAGUGCCCACGCCCUAACCACUUUCAUACUCACACAUGCACAACCCGCGGCUGGCCAAGCCUGGGUGUAAUGUCAGAAGAAAAUGGGGAAGGUUGGACAUUUGUCCUGUACACAGGCCGUCCAGGGUCUGCUGUUGAUCUCAAAUUUGCUUCAGCUCUCAGAAGGGUUUUAAGUCCUGGGGUCUUUUGGGGGUGUUUCAUUCAGGGACCUCUGUCCCCAGUGCUCUUUGUACCAGUCCAAACCGGCUUUCCGUGGCUUCCUCAGCUUUUCCAAAACACACCAGCUUCAGGGACACAAGACUGUUGUUUUCCCACUCGCUGGCUUUCGCUGUCUCACUGGCUUUUGCAGCCCCUGCAGUUCUGUUCAGCUGAAUCCUCCUUUCUCACGGCUGGACUGGGUUGGAAUCCAGGCUCCUGUCUUUCUUGGCAGGCAGCCGAGAGUCGGUUGUGUGCUGUGGCCUUGGGCUGGAGUCAACGUCUUAUCUUCGAACCUAGCUGGAGCAUCGAAUUAACCUGUUCCUUUCUCCCUUCCUUCCCCUUCGGCCUCUUGCAACCUGCAAAGAAAGCUUUCACUCCACACUCACACCUUCAACCCCUCCCAAGAUCCUUUCCAAUGUGUAUAAAAGCAUUAGCAAUAUACAAUGCUGGUGCUUACCCAGGGGACCCCCUGGGUAAUUUUACUGUGACAAUAGGCCCUGGGAAUUGGUGGGCAUGGAUGUAAUAGGGCCAUUACCAACAACAAACAAGGGAUACCAGUACAUCUUGAUGGUCAUGGAUUAUCUUACAAAAUGGAUGGCAUAAGUCAGCACAUGAAGUGGCAAAGAAAAUAGGUAAAAUUAUAAAUUGAUUUGGAUAUCUACAGUGGAUACUGACAGAUCUUGGUUCUGGAUUCAGUAAUGAGGUAAUGAUUUAUUUUUGAGAUUUUUUUUCACUAUUUCUUCAACCGCACUAUCGGAUCAUAGAUAUUUGACACUGACUACGGGCUUCAUUGUCGUCUUUAUUAUUAUUUUUUUUUACUGUAAAUUGUUGCUGACACAUUUUUCUGUCUACUUAUUCACCAAUUUUUUUAUAACAAACUGAUUGCAAACUUAUUUUUCCAUGUAGUCAUUCUAAAAGAUAGAAUAGGAAACCACAGUAAUUACAUGUAAAAUCAGUUGAAAAUAGGAGAAGGAACAUACAUGCAGACAUUUCCAAAGGAAACUUUAUGGCAUUUUUUUUUCUUUCACUUUAACCUGGCCCUUUGUGGGGAAAAAUGGGGAUAUAACAUAGCUUUAUCAGCUCAUACCACCCACAAACCAAUGGACUGGAUGAAAACACCAACAAAUCCAUCAAAUUUUAGAGGUGGAAAUUUCAAUACUAAACACAAGUAGCAUGCACCAGACCAUAAACUACAUAUUUGUAAUACCUCUUCAAGGUCAAUUUAUUACAUUGCAAUAAAUAAAUUUUAUUGUAUUACAUGUGAAAUGAAAAACAAUCAAAGCCACACGCUGUGAUGUUCUCCUCCUUAGACCUUCUUGAUUCCAUAUAAUCUAUCUCAAUCAAGACAUCGUGUUUACUAUUUGUUUUCACAAACUAAUCAAUCACCAUUUCUUACAGAGCACUGCGGAAGCUGGUUGAUACCACUGGGAGUAAUUGGAAUGAAUUUUUUUAUAACAUUUUAUUUUCUUUGAAAUCUAAACAGAAGAUGAGAACAAAAAUGUCACGCUUUCAACUGUAGUAUGGUUUUGAAGCAACAUUCUGUACAAGGGCUCAGAGAAUUAUACAGUAAGUGUAUUUAAGUACCAUCAGUACUUAAGUACUAAGUAGUAGCAAACACAGUGCUAUAUAGAGGAAUGAGUAAAUACAGUAAGCGUGUACUGAAAUUGGGAAAUACAGCUGUAGCCAAUUAGUUCAUUUUAUCUAUUUAUCAUUGUAAUGUGGUGGUCUGGUCAAUUAAUAUGGUAUUUUAUACAUAAUAAAUGCUAAAUAGAUUUAAGUUACUAGGCCAUAGACUUAAGCAUGCUUGACAUGAGUGGAUGAUUUAGAAUAACCCUACAUCAGUAAGGUCUUGAGAUUACUGCAAAGAUAUGCCAAAAAGUAAUGUUAUGAAAAAAAUAAUUUAAAUAAACUGAAAGCUAUUGUCCAAGAUCAUGAGACCCCAGAUUGUAACAUCAUAAAAAGUCCUGUUCUGACUGCAAGGUAUAUGUUAUGCAUAGAUGCUAAUGAGAAUAAGAGGAACUAAAACCAACCUAUGAAAAAUGAGGCACCCCAGUAUUCCUGGGGUGUGGAAGUACAGAUAAGGAAAAGCGGAUUUUCCUUAGAAUAGCUUUGAGGAUGUGAGUAUGACUAAAUUUGUAGUCAUUGCAUGCAUUUUUGUAGGAUUUACAUAUGCAUGAGUAAUUGUAACUUUACUUAUUGCUUUAAUAAAACUUGUAGUACAGAUAAAACUUGUGAGUAUGUCAAUAUCCUUGGACUUUGUGCGUUUCUAAAGUCUCUAAAUUUGAGAAAAGCACCAGAGGUAAUGUUCACUUUGAGCUUGAAACUGUAGCAACAGGAGCUGAAGCCAUGAUAGUGUAAUACAAAAUUACUAAAUUAAAUUUAAAUAAAAAAAGAAAGCUACACAGUGUCAUCUAGAUUGCAUGGUUUGUCUAAUUGACUGACAAGUAUAACUGCAUUUUUCUUUUUUUUCAAAGAACACAGACUGGAAUGCAAAAUGAUGUAUUAUUUCUUCUUUACAAUGCACCAGGUAAUUUGGGUUAUUGCAGUAAGAUGUUUUCCAUUGUUAUACUUUGGGAUUGUAUCCACUAAUGUAGUACUACAUAAUAGGAUUCAAAUACAGCUAUGAUAUAAUUUCCUGUAUUUUAUGGGUUUUCAAUAAAUUUAAUAGAUUCAAAUGAAAAUGGAACUUCAAUGUAAGGCUUGAAAUGCUGAAGACUGCAGUUUAAAAAAUAAAAUGCUAGUCUGAAGAAUUUGUUGUUAUAUUGGUAAUGUAUAUUUUAAAAAUACACCAAGAAAUUCACAAUAUGAUUUUCUCUUGUGUAUUAGUGAGAUAUUACACGAGAGUAUCUGCAUGCAGUGUUUUGAAAAAUCAUUAUAAAAUUGUUGAAAUGAUCAUAUUACCAAUAACAUAUGUAUAUAUUUUAAAUUUGCACAUAACAUUAAUGGAAUCAAAAAAAUUGUUAAUAAUUGAGCCCUUCUGUGGUGAGACAAGAGAUGUGAAAGAACCUUCCUAAGGAAUUGGAGAUGAUUUUAGGUACUUAUUUUCAGUUUAUAGGUCAUGUUAGUGUGAAACUAUUUUCAAUAAAUAUGAUACAACAACAAUGAAGACAAUAUCAUCCUGACAGCUACAAAUAAAAAUGGAAACAACACAUUCUUGUACUUACUCUGUUUAGUACUGGACAUUGACUGAACUUGUAGGAUUUGAGCAUGGACUAACUACUUCAUUGAAUGAAACCGCGUGUGUGUGUGAUAUAUAUACUAUGAGCAUGAAGUAAUUGCAACCAUUCAUUAAAUAGAAAAAUAAAGGAUUACUAAACAUCUAGAGUACCUGUAAGAAAAAAUGAAACCCACUUAUAAAAUUGGCUACUUAUAUGCCUUAUACAUUUCAGAUUGUUCAUCUACUGAAAAACUGGAAAAUCCAUAAUGGGUCUCUGGAAAAUAAAAAUUGUGGAACACAGGAGACAAGCAGUUGGGCACAACAGUGGUCCACUCAUUCUAAAAUUAUUGAGUGUCAAAUUUUGAUUUUUUCUUAAUGAUGUGUAAUUAUGAUGUGUUUUCUAAUUAAAAGUAUUAGUUUGCAAAAACAUAUUUAGAACAUAAAGACAUCAGUACUAUGGAAACCACACAAGAGACUAACUACGUAUAGAAGAAAAAUCACCAUUCUUUUAAUGAAAGAGUGGAGUAAUAACUUUGUUACAAGUACCUAGUGAGACCAGAGUAUAUGGGAAGAUAACAGGAAGAGUGGAAUAAUGUCAUAUCACAAAGUUAUCAGUAGGUUAUGUCGCAGGUUUGGUUCUCUAAGGGUCUCUCUGCAUGAAUAAUGUCUUUGAUUAGUGAAAAAUGGGGAGUGCGUAGAUGGUUGACAUUGAAAGAGCAAUGAAAUGUAAUUGGAUAUAGUUAUAUCCAUCAGCAGUCAACUAAAAGUUUGAGAUAAAUAGAUAAGGGUACCAAACAUAAUGUAAAAUAUGACCCCCCAAAAAGAAAAAUAUUUGCAAAUCAGUAACUUAAUACUUGAAAUAAUUGACAUUCAUGAAUAAAUCAAGAUUUCUAUUUAGAGUUUUGGUCAUAAGGUAAUCAUCAUUUGAUUACAUUAUAUUGAUUUUGCAGAGAGCAGGAAGGAGUACUGCACCUUGUCAUAUGCAAAAAUGAAAAUUGUAUAGUUAACACAAUGUUCGAACAGAUAAGUAAACAGAAUACUGUAUGAUUGUUUAUAGCACAUGGCCCAAGACCCAAUCAGUUGCAUAUAGACCUGAUGGAAUAACUUUGCUAAGGAUCAGGAUUGUUGUAAUAAUUCCACAUUAGUAAAUAUUUACACUGUUGCUGACUAAUUUUGACUAAUGAUUAUAUGUUCAAGGAAUAUUAUUUUAUAAUUGUAUGAAUUAAUUGAAAUUAUAUUUAGCAUAAAUAGUUCUGUCAUCAUUUUCUCAUCUAUUACUUAUCAAAGGUACAGUUUGACUCUUGUAAGAAGUGAGCAUAUGUGCCCUACCUUCCAGAGGGAACCAGUGAAGACAUCCUAAGUGAUAAGAAGAAACAGUAUGACUGCAGAAAGUGUGUAUAGUUGGGAUGUUUACAAAAAAAUGUAUUUAGUAUGAUUAUUUUCUUACGGUAAAUAUUUUGAUUUUCUUGGAAUUAUACAGUUGGAAUACAAAUGUGUAAUAGAGAAGUUCAAUUUUAAUAUUCAUUUGAGUAAAGGAAAAAUAUAUGUUAAUCACUGUUUCUAAAAA